GACGAACGCUGGCGGCGUGCCUAAUACAUGCAAGUCGAGCGGACUGAUUAAGAGCUUGCUCUUAUGACGUUAGCGGCGGACGGGUGAGUAACACGUGGGCAACCUGCCCUGUAGAUCGGGAUAACACCGAGAAAUCGGUGCUAAUACCGGGUAAUAUCUGAGAUCACAUGAUCUUAGGUUAAAAGAUGGCUCCGGCUAUCACUACAGGAUGGGCCCGCGGCGCAUUAGCUAGUUGGUAAGGUAAUGGCUUACCAAGGCGACGAUGCGUAGCCGAUCUGAGAGGGUGAUCGGCCGCGCUGGGACUGGGACACGGCCCAGACUCCUACGGGAGGCAGCAGUAGGGAAUCUUCCGCAAUGGACGAAAGUCUGACGGAGCAAAGCCGCGUGAGUGAUGAAGGGUUUCGGCUCGUAAAGCUCGGUUGUUAGGGAAGAAACAGUACCGAACGAACUAGGUCGGUACCUUGACGGUACCUAACCAGAAAGCCACGGCUAACUACGU
RNAcentral lists this ribosomal RNA (499 nucleotides) under uncultured bacterium. Its description in RNAcentral is "partial 16S ribosomal RNA". It matches the Rfam family "Bacterial small subunit ribosomal RNA", at positions 28 to 506 of the family's 1533-position model. The record is from RNAcentral.